UCACCCACUUUUAGAAUUGCUCCGUUCUUGAAGGAGAAAAAAAAAGGAGGCUAUCGCUCGCAUCGUUUUUUCCUAAAUAAAAACAGUUUUCCCGAAAAGAAAAACAAAAAAAAAAACUCGACUAAACCUAAAACAAAACCUCUCUUCUGUUAUUCGAUCUAGCUCCGCCUCCACCUUCUUCUCCACCAUCUACACAUCUGUAUCGUCCUAAUAUAUUCACCUCUAUUCUUUUCUUCGUUGAUUUACCUUCAGGAUAUUUGUCUUCGUUGAUAACAAAAAAAACAAACAAGUUUUCUGUCGAACGAAGUUGAAUCUCCAUAACCCUAAUCACAUCUCUUUUAUCCAUACCCUUAAUUUAUUCUCUUCUUCUCUCUUUGUUUGCCUUCUCCAUCUCUUUGUUCAUCGUAUCUGUUUUGAUUGUUCGUUAUUGGUUUUGUUUAAAUUGUUUUUGUUUGGUUUUAUUUUGAUGGAACGAAUUUUUACUAUUGGUAAACCCUAACCUUUUUCUUUCCGUCUCUUCGUUUCUCUGAAUCAUUAAACCCUAACCCAUGUAUUGUUUUGCAGGUACAAUCAAUAAACCCUAACCCAUGCUUUAUUUUGCAGGUACAAAAGAGCAAUAUAUUAAUGGUGAUAGAAAAAAACGGUUUGCACACCAAGAGAAAAAAAAAAAACUUCUCUUCUUACGAAACCAAAAAAUAAACCUACAAAAAAAAAAACACAAAGGUAUAAGAGGGUAUAUUGAUGGUGAUAGAAGCGUAGAAAUUGGAAACGCGACUAUGAAAAUACGAGCUUGUUCUAGAGCUUGGUAACAAUCCACGGAGAGGUGCGCUUUUGGCUGGAAACGAUUCUCACUUGCCUCCAGUGUUGUCCUUUCAUAUAAGGGGAUCUCUAAUACUCUUGAGGCAUCGAUUAUGCUGUUGUGAAAGCCCAUGAGUUACCAGCACUUUUUAGACAGGUUUACCAACAUAAGAACGAAAUGUUACUUCUAGCAGCGAUUAUGAAAGGAAGCUGGCUUUUGACAGCAACAUAGUAGAAAGGAAGAGCUGAAGAGAGUUGAGGACUUACCUGAACCCCCGUUUCGAGCCAUCUGUAUUAAAGACGCUGAACUUGAAGCCUGCGGCAAGCAUCCAACUCUAACCGUAAUGAGGACAAAGUGCAGAAGGAUGUGCUCAUGUUAUAACUUUUCAGGAUGCUUAUGAAUUUGUAGGGAAAAGACUACGGAUUUGUAGGAAAAGCCGCAAAAGACAUAUAUGUGUAAGUAAAUUUGAAGAGUAAUUGCAUGAGUUUGAUCUUUGUGAAGCCAUGACUACUUGGGAUCAGGGGAUAUUGUUGAUCAGCAUAAAUGGGUACAUAUCAUUCAUGAUUUCAUACCUUAAUUCUUAAAUGGAAAAAUACAUAGCAUAAUCAUUCAUUUUGUCCAUGUUGAUCGCUUUGACACAGUUAGGAGGCCUAGAGAGUGAGAGUGUGAGAGAUGAAAUAUGGAGGGGAACUUUAUAGAUAAACAUAUUACCUUAGUAUAUCUCAUAGUUAUAAAUAUAACCUUAGAAUUUUUAUUAGUACAGGAUGUAGACAGAGAAUACCAUAUCAAUUAUACAGUUAAUGGGGAGUUUUUUUUAUUAUUAUUUGGGAUCCAUAUUUAAUUUUGCAAUCAUUAUUUACGGCGUAGGAUGCAUGUUAACUUCUGGAUUUUUAACUUCAUUCACAUUUUUAGUUUUGAUUCCUUUGAACUGCUCACCUUUUGCAUUUUUUUGGUGGUAGGUCAAGAAAAACUUUGGUGCAGGCCUAAUAAAGAUGAUUUCAGAUGUCGCUAGCAUCUUUGUAAUAGCAAGUAGAUCUUAAUAUAUGGAAAUACCGAUGGUUUUAUAAUUAAGAAACAUCUUAAUAUUCUGGAAUCCUUUUUUUUCCUUCUUUCUGGAUUCCUUUGUUCUUCUUCUUCUUCUUCUUCCCGAUGGAAGUUUGACUUAGAGCAAUAGCUAUUUAGGGUCUGUUUGGGAGCUUGGAAACGGGAUAACGUAUCUUGGAAAAGUUUAUCUUAAUUUAAUUUAUGAUAACCUUGGUGUUUGUCUAAAA
Long non-coding RNA from Papaver somniferum (opium poppy), 2070 nucleotides. RefSeq lists it as uncharacterized. The transcript is spliced from 8 exons. NCBI's taxonomy places the organism in Eukaryota, Viridiplantae, Streptophyta, Magnoliopsida, Ranunculales, Papaveraceae. The record is from RefSeq and is a predicted model, not a curated record.